RNAcentral lists this ribosomal RNA (216 nucleotides) under Triticum aestivum (bread wheat). RNAcentral's name for it is "partial small subunit ribosomal RNA". The record is from RNAcentral. Lineage: Eukaryota; Viridiplantae; Streptophyta; Magnoliopsida; Poales; Poaceae.
CGACCACCUAAACGUCGUCUUCAAGUAAUCCACUUUGGCAGCGAUCUUCUCCUUGCUGAGGCGUGCAACAGCAUUCAAUGCGUGUCUGAACAUCCUACAGCCACGAGGCACACCUAUACCUUCAGCAAGUGCCACCACUUCCCGGACGCGCUCCAAGUUGGAGGCGAGCAGACAUGGCUGGGUGACGCACAACUUGGCAAUGUCGGAGUCACCUAG